GCCUGGGUGGUUCAAUUGGUUAAGUGUCUGACUUUGGCUCAGGUCAUGAUCUCACAGUUCAUGGGUUCGAGCCCCAUGUCAGGCU
This 85-nucleotide transfer RNA is filed under the name Felis catus (domestic cat). It matches the Rfam family "tRNA". From Rfam's summary of the family: Transfer RNA (tRNA) molecules are approximately 80 nucleotides in length. Their secondary structure includes four short double-helical elements and three loops (D, anti-codon, and T loops). RNAcentral also lists the same sequence under 2 other names. Lineage: Eukaryota; Metazoa; Chordata; Mammalia; Carnivora; Felidae. The record is from Rfam by way of RNAcentral.